GCGAGCGUAGUUCAACGGUAGAAUAGUGCUCCUUUGAAGAUACUAACAGAUGCAGGUUCGACUCCUGCCGCUCGCG
Molecule: transfer RNA, 76 nt
Filed under: Lactiplantibacillus plantarum
Lineage: Bacteria; Bacillati; Bacillota; Bacilli; Lactobacillales; Lactobacillaceae
Description: tRNA-Gln
Rfam family: tRNA
About the family: Transfer RNA (tRNA) molecules are approximately 80 nucleotides in length.
Source: RNAcentral